UUACACUUCCCCAAAAGACUCAAGCUGUCUGACAGGGCUCUGGAUGGCACCUCCUCCUAGGAGGCUGCUUGAAGUCAGGAGAAGGAAUGACUACUACUGCAGAUGAGUGCUCCAUGCUUCAAUGUCAACUUCAGAAUUUUGGAUUUCCCUGAAUCAGUUGAGGGAGGGCAAAUAGCCCCUUUACUUAUUUAGCUGGUAGCUUGUUUAUUUACUUAACAAAUACAGUACAGCAUUACUACAUAUAGAUACUUUCAAGUGCUUUAUGAAUAUGAACUCAUUUAAUUCUCGAAAUUGUAUGAGGCAGUGCUAUUUUUAUAUCCAAUUCUUAGAUGAGUAAAGUGAGGCACAGACAGGCAGAAUACUAUGCCAAAAGUUAGGCUCCUGGGAGGUGAUAGAGACAGUAUUCAAUCCCAGGCAGUUUGUCCAGAUUUCACGCUUUCAACCAUUAGCAAUUGAUUUAUUUAUUAUCCUCUGUUGGGAAAAUAACAGCAGUGUCAGAAAUUAUCCCCCAUUCUGCAGCGAAUUUCAUACCAGCUACAUUUCACUUAAUCCUUACAACAAUUCUGUGUGAUGGGGGAUUCUCAUCUUCAAUUUAUAGAUGAGGAAAUAAGCUCAACGGCUCAUCCAAGGUUAUAUAGGCAGAGGGGCAGAGCCAGUCAAACACAGGUUGUCUAAUGCCAGUCAAGGGUUCUUUAUACCACAUUGUCAGUUAGUAGAAAGGUCUAGGGGAAGUAAGUGAGGAGAUUGCAAAAUCAUCUUAAAAAAAAAAAAAAAGAAAAAUCAUGAUUCAGACCUGCCUGACUUGCUGACUACACAUCAGCUUUCAUAACAUAUCACAAUCAGCCUCACAGUGGAAAAUGAGUCAAUUUCUAUAUACUGUGGCUUUCUCAAAAACCUCUCAAGGGAACUGUAAGAAUUUGCUGAAUUCAUAUUGCAAUUCAGCCCAUUAUAAGAACUGUAAAGCAAUUAGACUCAGAACCUGAAACUGCAUAUAGCUCAUCAGCUUGGGAAGCAGAGAUGGGUACAUUAUCUAGUUAAGUACCUCCAGUUACUCAUCACUGUGUUAUCUGUAACUUCAGAACAUCAGUGAAACAAAAACUGCACAAUUUCAUAGUUUUCCAUUGUAUACAGAAAUUUGCUAAGAAAGACUAAUUGUGAUGAGAACAGAUCAAGAAUAGUUCAACUAUUUGAAAUAAGUUUGAUGGAAUUAAAAUCAUUUCUUACAUUAAUCAGAUUUCUUAUAAAACUAUUAUCUUGAUAGCAUUGAAAAACAAGUUUAUAGUAUUAAAGUGUAAGCAUUUCCAUAUCCUUUUCUUAUUUUUAUUCAAUGUAGAUGACUCAAGAUUUUCAGUAUCAAAAUAGUCUUAUCAUGCUUGUUCUGAACUGGGUUUUCAUAUUGUAAUAUCUUGUUCCUGUUCCCUUUGCAGUCUCCAAAUUUGUUUUCAAUGCCAAAAGAAGUACUUGGUGGAAUGGGUAAACGUGGUCAUAUUUUACAUUAGCUAAAUAAUUAUGAAUUUAAAAAUCAUUAAAUUGUAUCUAUAACCUGUGUAAAGAACAAUAUUCCUACUUUGGGAACUGUAUUAUAAAGAUAAUAAAGAACAUACCAUUAUGAAUGAUACUUAAAGGUGUUCUAACUGAAGGCUAAAAAUAGAUACCUAGAGGUUUCUCAACAAAAUACGAAGAAAAAUUGGGUACUUGGGAUUGGCAGAAACACUGAGAAAACCAGCUUCGGCAAAAAUAUAAACUAUACUGAAAAGACAAUAAUGAGCUCAUGAAAACAGAAAAAAAGGAUGCAGCUGGGACUCAAAACAAACUGAUGCUAGACUCAAACACCUGGAUUCACCCCCCUUGCUCUGUCUCUCUCUGUGCAUAUUCUCCAUUAACCUCUCCACAGCAGAAUGAUGUGCUCCACUUCCCAAAGGUCGUGAUGGAAAAUUGCCACUACAAACUGCCCCCAAGUGUAUAUGUGAUAUAGUUUGGCUGUGUCCCCACAUAAAUCUCAUCUUGAAUUGUAGCUCCCAUAAUUCCCACAUGUUGUGGGAUGGACCUGGUGGGAGGUAAUUGAAUGAUGGCAGCAGUUUCCCCCAUCUUCCCCCAUUCACUACCACUCUUGGUAGUGAAUAAGUCAUACAGGACCUGAUGGUUUUACAAGGGGUUCCCCCUUUCGCUUGGCUCUGGUUCUUGUUCUUUCUUGUCUGCCACUGUGUAAGAUGUGCCUUUUGCCUUCCACCAUGAUUGUGAGGCCUCCCAGCCAUGUGGAACUAAGUCCAUUAAACCUCAUUUUCUUUGUAAAUUACCCAGUCUCGGGUAUGUCUUUAUCAGCAAUGUGAAAAUGGACUAAUACAAUAUGUUCUCUGUUUACAAGAGUAGUCACACUAGGGUGAAAUCUUUGAUCCCAGAGCUAUAGCCACCUGGACCCCAACGUAGCAGCUUCCUUGAAUCAAUGGGGAUUGAGGAAGAGCUGUUUCCAAGAUGGCAACACAAAAGGUAACGUGACAACCUGAAGGGCAAGGAAAUAUACAUUCCCUCGAGAACAACCAGAAUGGGAUUCUUGAAUGCCACCAGGACUUUUUCUCCAGCUUUUUCAGUUCUGGAGGCCAGAAGUCUGAGAUCAAUGUGUUGGCAGGGCCAUGCUCCCUCUGAAGGCACUGGGGAAGGAUCUAUUUCUGGCCUGUCUCUCUGAGCUUCUGAUAGUUCCUUGGCUUGUUGCAACAUAAAUAACUCCAUUCCUCACAUGGUAAGGCAUUUUCUGUGUCCAAAUUUCCCCUUUAUAUUAAAAAAAUUUUUUUCACUGAAACUUCAGGCUUUGUUGAAUUCCGUUGUUUUUUCCCGUAGUUUUAUU
This 2842-nucleotide long non-coding RNA is filed under the name Homo sapiens (human). Its description in RNAcentral is "novel transcript". The record is from RNAcentral. Lineage: Eukaryota; Metazoa; Chordata; Mammalia; Primates; Hominidae.